This is a long non-coding RNA of Lontra canadensis (Northern American river otter), 827 nucleotides long. RefSeq lists it as uncharacterized. The transcript is spliced from 3 exons. The record is from RefSeq and is a predicted model, not a curated record. NCBI's taxonomy places the organism in Eukaryota, Metazoa, Chordata, Mammalia, Carnivora, Mustelidae.
AAAAAGGCAAAAGUGGGUGGGGAAAUUUGAAAGUAGGGGGCAGGUUUCAUUCUCUGAAUCUGCAGGGGAUGGGAGCUGGAGGGCCCCCAGGGACAGCCGACAAAGUGAUUCAUCUCAAGCCCUUCUUGGACCAAUUGGGCAGUAGUUAGAGGGUCUGUGUUUCAGGGUGGAGAUAGUAGUAGUGGAGUCAGAGAGACAGAUAGUGCCCACGUGGCUGGUGAGACACCUGGAAAGAACAGAGCACCUGCAAACAGAGGACUGGCUGCGGAGGCAACAACUGUCCUCCUCACUCUGACUAAAAGCAGCAUCUGGUGCAACAGGCAGCAGCCACCACCACUAUUCCAGGUGGAUUGGUCAAACAGGUGCAACAGAGGACUGGAAGGAUGUCUUAAUUAUGGAGAUAAGUGCUCAAUAAAGACCAAACAUUUUGAGGAAUGCUAUCUCCCUGAAAACAAGAUAAUAAUGGGUUUUUAACAAAUCGAAGGUUUAAGAUUUCCUUGGAGGACGUCACUGCAGAGGGGCUGCAAACAGCAGGAGAACUGGAAUUCCAAGUGGAGCCUGUAGAUGGGACCGAAUCGCGGCAAUCCUGUGAUUGAACCUGAGGGAGGAGGCGUCGCUUCCUGGGGCCGAACAAAGAAAGUGGUUUCCCAAGAUGGAAUCUAAUCCUAGUGACGAUGCUGUGAAGACUGUUGAAGAGACACCAGAUGGUUUAGGAUAUCAUGUCCGCUCAGGAUCUGACACAGACACCCCAGCCGUCAGCAGCCACCACCCUGAUCUGUCCGCGGCCAUGGACAUCAAGGCGUGACCCUCCUCCAACGAAAGGACUA